AUAGUGAUUGCCUACGCCUUGCAGGUGCCCCACUGCAAAGCAGAGACCUUUAUUUUAUUAUUAUCACACACUUGUAUAAAUAACUGGAACUUCUCAGCUUGAUUCAUCACUGAUCAGCGUCCUUUCUGCAGCAGCCUCGAGUUAUCAGAGGGAGCUUCAACCAUGAGAUUCCUCUCCCUUUUUCUUCUUCCUUUGCUGUUGCUGGCCCUGGCCAGCCAGGCUGAACAAGCGGGCAAGGCUUGUGAGAGGAUGAGAGGCUUUUGCGUCCAUAAGAGUUCACACUGCCCCAGCAACAAAGUACUUCCGUUUGAAUGUGGCGAGAAGAGAAAGUGCUGCAAAAAGUUAGACUCAGAUGCGUAACCGUGGAUAAGAGAAACCAAACUUCACACGGGGGGAAACAAAGAGUGCUUGUUAUAUGCUAAGGCAGAAAUUGUUAAAAGCAUUGCAUUCCACUCAUUAAAUGCCUGUCAGAAAUAA
Podarcis raffonei (Aeolian wall lizard) is the source of this 477-nucleotide long non-coding RNA. RefSeq lists it as uncharacterized. Lineage: Eukaryota; Metazoa; Chordata; Lepidosauria; Squamata; Lacertidae. The record is from RefSeq and is a predicted model, not a curated record. The transcript is spliced from 2 exons.